RNAcentral lists this long non-coding RNA (1228 nucleotides) under Papio anubis (olive baboon). RNAcentral describes it as "lncRNA (ENSPANG00000041417.1)". The record is from RNAcentral. Lineage: Eukaryota; Metazoa; Chordata; Mammalia; Primates; Cercopithecidae.
AUGUUCCAUUUUUGUCCUAUUAGAGUGCCCUUUUUUCAACCCUCUGUCCAAUUGGCUGCUUUUAAGAUCCUACUGAUGGGUGCGUUUUACAGAGCGCUGAUUGGUGCAUUUUACAAUCCCCUUGCUAGCUACAGAGCACUGAUUGGUGCGUUUUACAAUCCUAGCUGCAGAGUGCUGAUUGGUGCAUUUUACAAUCCCCUUGUAAGGAAGAAAAGUUCUCCAAGUCCCCACUCGACCCAGGAAGUCCAGCUGACUUCACCUCGCAAAGCGACCUUCAUCUUCACUGAAGGCUUAGGAAAAGAGAUAAGUCAUUCCACUUCUUCUGAGGGAGCGAGGAAAGAGACGAAGUUCAGAAAUGUACCAACUGACUACCUUGACCUAGACAUAGGCAUCAGAAUGGUUGCACUCAGCAAUAAAGACUGAACUGGGAAUAGAAAGAUGAACAAGGCAGUGCACUUCCCUUCAAAGAGCUUACAGAGUCACAACCAGCAGGUAAAACAGAACACAUCUCAGCUUAGAAUCUUAGACGCUCACCUGUGAAACAAGAACACUAAUACCAACCUCAAAUAUUUGUUGUUUGAAUUCAGUGAGAUUUUGUGUAUAAAGUAUGUACCAUCAUAUCUAGCUCAAGAAAUAAUUUAAUAGAUGUUUGUUUCUCAUCUCUGCUUUUCACAUUCAGAUUGCCUCUACAUUGUGCGGAAUGAAAUAGGUUCUAUGUUUUUAAGAUAUUCUAGACCUCUAAGAAUUCUUUAACAAAUGGAAGAUCAAAGUUAUAAGCAUUUUCUUUAGGGACUGUGAGUCAGAAGAUAGACAUUUGAUAGCAUUAAACAUUAAAGAAACAGAAAUAAAGUAAGUUAGCCUUUACCUGCCUCUGAUGAUAAAGACUGCUGUAGUAAAUAUUGGUUAAACAAAAACCACAUAAAGUAAUAUAACUUUAUUUCUUGCAGCCUUCAGCAACUAAAUACUCAAAAAGUGUAAUCAAAUUCUUGAAAGACAGAAUCUGUCAAUCUAAAAUUUUGUGAAAAGAUAAGCUGUUUUUCAAGAAUGAGGACAAACUAAAGGCAUGAUUAAACAGAAGAAACUUGGACUGUUUAACAACCAUAGAUCCUCAUUUAAGAACUUUCAAGCAGAAGAGAAAUCACAUUAGAAUGAAAGUUUGAGUUGCAAAGAGUAAAAUGUAUAUAGGCAUUGGUAAAUAUGGGAUACAUAUGAACAAACAGUAUUUGUU